UAGAGUUUGUUUCCUGGCUCAGGACGAACGCUGGCGGCGUGCCUAAUACAUGCAAGUCGAGCGGACGGAUGGGAGCUUGCUCCCUGAAGUCAGCGGCGGACGGGUGAGUAACACGUGGGCAACCUGCCUGUAAGACUGGGAUAACUUCGGGAAACCGGAGCUAAUACCGGAUAAUGCACAACCUCUCAUGAGGCUAUGCUGAAAGAUGGUUUCGGCUAUCACUUACAGAUGGGCCCGCGGCGCAUUAGCUAGUUGGUGAGGUAACGGCUCACCAAGGCAACGAUGCGUAGCCGACCUGAGAGGGUGAUCGGCCACACUGGGACUGAGACACGGCCCAGACUCCUACGGGAGGCAGCAGUAGGGAAUCUUCCGCAAUGGAGCGAAAGUCUGACGGAGCAACGCCGCGUGAUGUGAUGAAGGUUUUCGGAUCGUAAAAGCUCUGUUGUCAGGGAAGAACAAGUGCCGGAGUAACUGCCGGCGCCUGACGUC
This 489-nucleotide ribosomal RNA is filed under the name Bacillus sp. PS4C-CB147. Its description in RNAcentral is "bacterial SSU rRNA". It matches the Rfam family "Bacterial small subunit ribosomal RNA", at positions 1 to 486 of the family's 1533-position model. The record is from RNAcentral. Lineage: Bacteria; Bacillati; Bacillota; Bacilli; Caryophanales; Bacillaceae.